AUGAUGGGCGCCAGGGCCAACGCCAGCGCCAACGCGGCCGACUGCGGGGAGUACGCGGAGCUCGACCCCACCGGCCGGUACGGAAGGUACAACGACGUCCUCGGCAAGGGCGCGUCCAAGACCGUGUACCGGGCGUUCGACGAGUACCAGGGGAUGGAGGUGGCGUGGAACCAGGUGAAGCUGUACGACUUCCUGCAGUGCCCCGACGACCUGGAGCGCCUCUACUGCGAGAUCCACCUCCUCAAGACGCUCAAGCACAAGAACAUCAUGAAGUUCUACACCUCCUGGGUCGACGUCUCUGCCCGCCACAUCAACUUCAUCACCGAGAUGUUCACCUCCGGCACGCUCCGCCAGUACAGGCAGAAGCACAGGAAGGUGAACAUAUGGGCGGUCAAGGACUGGUGCCGGCAGAUCCUCAGCGGCCUGCUGUACCUACACAGCCACAAUCCACCCAUCAUCCACCGGGACCUCAAGUGCGACAACAUCUUCGUCAAUGGUAACCAGGGUGAGGUCAAGAUCGGCGACCUCGGCCUCGCCGCCAUCCUCCGCAAGUCCCACGCUGUUCACUGCGUAGGUACGCCUGAGUUCAUGGCGCCGGAGGUGUACGCCGAGGAGUACAACGAGCUGGUGGACAUAUACUCCUUCGGGAUGUGCGUGCUUGAGAUGGUCACCUUCGAGUACCCGUAUAGCGAAUGCUCGCACCCGGUGCAGAUCUACAAGAGAGUGAUCUCUGGUACUAAGCCUGAAGCUUUGUACAAGGUGAAAGAUCCAAUGGUGAGGCAAUUUGUCGAGAAAUGCCUGACCACUGCUUCCGAGAGGCUCACGGCAAGAGAGCUGCUCAAUGACCCUUUCCUGCGCAUUGAUGGCAUGGCUCUAUGUUCUGGGGAUGGGGAUUACACCCUGUUGAACAAUUACCUUCGGCAGCCCUACCUAAGGCAUGCUUAUAGUAAUGGGUCUGUGAUGAGCAAUGGGUUCUCAGAAAGCAUUGACGAAGGUGCACCAACGGAGUUUGAAGAUGACGACACUAAAGCCGAUGGCAUUGAUCUGUUCAACGGCCACGAAGAUGAGCCUCUUGGCACUGUGGACAUCGCAAUCAAAGGGAGAAAAAGUGAGGAUGGAGGAAUCUUCCUCAGACUACGAAUUACUGAUGAUGAUGGCCGGGUACGCAACAUCUAUUUUCCUUUCGAUGUUGAGGCUGAUACUGCAUUAAGUGUGGCAACUGAGAUGAUAGGCGAGCUGGACAUAACUGACCAUGAGGUUACUCGUAUCGCUGACAUGAUCGAUGGUGAGCUUAGUGCGCUGGUGCCAGAUUGGAUGGCCGGUCCAGGCAUAGAGGAAGCUCCAGACGCUGCAUACUGCCAUAACUGUGGAUCCAAUGUGUCAUCAUGUGGUUCGCUUUUUGACUACAUGUCGUCGACUUCUCGUGGUUGCCGAUGCGCAGAACUGCAUGGGAGGUUUGAGGAGAUCACGUUCCAAGCUGCCGAUGAAGAGCAAUCUGGUUUGCAUGACUCAGGGGGCAGCUCUGAUGAUGGAGGCGCGCAAAAGGAGCAACAUGUCAAAGACAAGGAACCCAUAUGCCUGAAUGGGUUUCCAAAGAUGGGUAGAAGAGGUCUUUCUGAUCGGCUUUGCUUCAGUUCUUUCCAGGAGCGGUCGUGCCCAACCGAGAAUUAUGAGAGCGAUGCCGAUCAUCAGCCUAAGGGGUUCGACAUAAAGCAUGAAGUGAAGAUGGCCAAGUACAAAGCACGGAAAAUGGCACACCUGAAGAGAGCUAUUCAUCCAUCUCUGGACUUCGACAACACCACGAAUGGAGCAAGCAGGACGAAGCCUACACUGAGCAAGCUGGAGUCUUUCCAUGUCGGUAAGCACCACAAUUUCCGUGUACCGACCUGCCAGCGAAGCCCCGGCACAGCAAGUAGCCCUGGCACAGCAAGCACCGAUCAGCAUCCAGGCAUGAGUAACCAAGUGUGUCCGAGCCCAGGAGCCCAAAGGGCCCUGCGCACCGAGAGCAGCCCGGAUUGUAUGUUCACAGCCAGAAACUAUUAUACUGGAGCUCAGUUGCCACCAAACCUCCCAAGAACAAAAUCUGUACCCCUAAGCGCCAUCGAUGCCUGA
This 2112-nucleotide ribosomal RNA is filed under the name Triticum aestivum (bread wheat). RNAcentral's name for it is "partial small subunit ribosomal RNA". Lineage: Eukaryota; Viridiplantae; Streptophyta; Magnoliopsida; Poales; Poaceae. The record is from RNAcentral.